RNAcentral lists this ribosomal RNA (1111 nucleotides) under Bacillus siamensis. RNAcentral describes it as "bacterial SSU rRNA". It matches the Rfam family "Bacterial small subunit ribosomal RNA", at positions 50 to 1144 of the family's 1533-position model. Lineage: Bacteria; Bacillati; Bacillota; Bacilli; Caryophanales; Bacillaceae. The record is from RNAcentral.
UAUACAUGCAGUCGAGCGGACAGAUGGGAGCUUGCUCCCUGAUGUUAGCGGCGGACGGGUGAGUAACACGUGGGUAACCUGCCUGUAAGACUGGGAUAACUCCGGGAAACCGGGGCUAAUACCGGAUGGUUGUUUGAACCGCAUGGUUCAGACAUAAAAGGUGGCUUCGGCUACCACUUACAGAUGGACCCGCGGCGCAUUAGCUAGUUGGUGAGGUAACGGCUCACCAAGGCGACGAUGCGUAGCCGACCUGAGAGGGUGAUCGGCCACACUGGGACUGAGACACGGCCCAGACUCCUACGGGAGGCAGCAGUAGGGAAUCUUCCGCAAUGGACGAAAGUCUGACGGAGCAACGCCGCGUGAGUGAUGAAGGUUUUCGGAUCGUAAAGCUCUGUUGUUAGGGAAGAACAAGUGCCGUUCAAAUAGGGCGGCACCUUGACGGUACCUAACCAGAAAGCCACGGCUAACUACGUGCCAGCAGCCGCGGUAAUACGUAGGUGGCAAGCGUUGUCCGGAAUUAUUGGGCGUAAAGGGCUCGCAGGCGGUUUCUUAAGUCUGAUGUGAAAGCCCCCGGCUCAACCGGGGAGGGUCAUUGGAAACUGGGGAACUUGAGUGCAGAAGAGGAGAGUGGAAUUCCACGUGUAGCGGUGAAAUGCGUAGAGAUGUGGAGGAACACCAGUGGCGAAGGCGACUCUCUGGUCUGUAACUGACGCUGAGGAGCGAAAGCGUGGAGAGCGAACAGGAUUACAUACCCUGGUAGUCCACGCCGUACACUAUGAGUGCUAAGUGUUAGGGGGUUUCCGCCCCUUAGUGCUGCAGCUAACGCAUUAAGCACUCCGCCUGGGGAGUACGGUCGCAAGACUGAAACUCAAAGGAAUUGACCGGGGGCGACACAAUCAGUGCAACAUGUGGUUUAAUUCGAAUGACCGCGAAGAACCUUACCAGGUCUUGACAUCCUACUGACAUCCGAGUGAUGGGACAGGCCCCUUCGGGGUCACAGUGACAUGGGAUGCAGGUUGUCGUCCCUUCGAGCCAAGAGAUGUUGAGGCUAAAUCCUUCACCAUCCCACCCCUUGACCUUAGUUGACUUUCUUUCAAUGGGCAAUAUUAGG